CUUGCCGGGUGGCGGAAGCACUGUGAACCCCGUCAGGUCCGAAAGGAAGCAGCGGCAGCAGCCGCUUCCGGGUGCCCGGCAUCUUA
This 86-nucleotide signal recognition particle RNA is filed under the name Desulfovibrionaceae bacterium. RNAcentral describes it as "signal recognition particle sRNA small type". It matches the Rfam family "Bacterial small signal recognition particle RNA". Rfam says of the family: The signal recognition particle (SRP) is a universally conserved ribonucleoprotein involved in the co-translational targeting of proteins to membranes. Lineage: Bacteria; Pseudomonadati; Thermodesulfobacteriota; Desulfovibrionia; Desulfovibrionales; Desulfovibrionaceae. The record is from RNAcentral.